GCGGUGGUUUUGACGGUCGUGAUUGUUGUUGGACUUGGAUGAUGGAAGUGAAGAAAGAGGAACCAUGAAGCAAUGAAGAGAGAUGUGAAGAGAGUGAAUUUUAUUGAUCUGUUAAUGUUGACGAUGUUGGCUUCUUUGGUUUUUGAGAGGCUUUGGGAUUUUGUUGUGUAUGGUAGAGAUUUUAGUGGUUGAGUUGGUGAUGAUUUUCUGAAAAACAUGUUGAAGAGAGAGAGAGAGAGAGAGAUGGAGGAGAUGAAUGGCUGUUAUUUGUUUGUACGACUGUGAAGAGCGUUGAAAAUGUCGGUUGUUUCUGUGUGCUGUUUGAGAUUCAAGAGAAUAAGGGAACUAAAGAAAUAGUUAACCAUCCUUUAAAAAAAAAAUUAUUUUAUGGAUGUGAAAAUGAUGAUUAAGAAACUCAAUACCGG
RNAcentral lists this long non-coding RNA (425 nucleotides) under Trifolium pratense (red clover). Its description in RNAcentral is "long non-coding RNA (TPRA_LNC012556)". Lineage: Eukaryota; Viridiplantae; Streptophyta; Magnoliopsida; Fabales; Fabaceae. The record is from RNAcentral.